UUUUUGCAUUGUUUUGUAUCCCUAGCACUUAGCACAUUGUAGGUGCUUAAUAAAUGCUAGUUGACUGACCAAUAAAAUUCACAUGUGAAGGAAUAGUUUCUCUAAGAAAAUAUGAAGAGAUGCACAGACUGUUAAAAGAAACAGAUAGAGAACUGCCCCUCAGAUGAAUGGACUGAGAGGACCUGUUUGACCUCAAAAAGUUGACUAAGCCUGCAAGGUAGUGUGAUUCUUCAUUUACAUGUGACUUUUUUUUUAGUCUUUGGAAAGUUAUAACUUUCAAAAUGCUACAUCAGAUAAUUACAUGGAAACUGUGAGAAGGUUAAAUAAGGAUGCCUGGCUUCAUAAUUGACAGAAAAAAAAUAGAUUCCAUGACUUUUACUCCCAUGAGGGAAAGCAGAAUCACUGACCAGCAGGACCCAUUGAUUUGAAGUAUGGAGAGAUGGAAAAACCAGCUAUGAAAGAGUUAAGAAGUCAACCCCUGAGCCAGCUAAUAGGAAGGCUUCGACUUCCAUGCAGGGUGUUUGCUGAUUGGUUGGGGAAAGCUUGCAGUUCAUUGUAAGAGAGAUCUCUUACUCUAGCAGAUGUUACCCUAAGGCAUUAUCUACAGUUUGAAAGCCAUCAAGCCUCUCAGAGAUAACCUGGUUGUUCUCUAUUGCUUUAGAAAGAAAAAUGUAAAGAAAAGAUAGGCUUUGAGUCUGUUUUUUUUUUUAAAUUUGUUUCUAUUUGUUUUCCUUUAAGAACAUACUUGGAAGCAAUUAGUGUAGGAUCCUGUCUAGGGAAUAACUGACUGAGCAUCUCUACAGGAUCUAAUGAACCAACCUGAGAAGCUGUUCUUCUUAAGCUGUUCUUAAGUGAGCUACUCUCACUUAAGCGAACUUCUUGCUGUUACAGGAGCAUAACAUUUUCUCAGCACCUUGGUUAAGGAUGAUGGUACAAUCACACAAGCAAUACAAAAUAAUGUCAAGAGGAAGAGAGUGAUAAUGACUGCGGACCUCAAAGGCCUCUUGAAGGAAGUAACACUAGAACUGUGUUUUGCAAAAAGGUGAGGAUUCUACAAGGUGGAGGUGUGAAGAUGAUGAAACUCAAUCCCAGGGAGGAGAAAUUUGCCCAAAAUCAAAUAAAUAGUUAACAUCAGAAGCAGGAUUUGAAGCCAGGUCAUCUGACUCCAGAGCAGUUGCUCUUUUUCCCAAGAAAAACGUAAGCUCCUUAGCAAAGACUGGAAACAAAGUGAGAGCCUAUCAACUGGAGAAUGGCUUGAUAAAUUCAGAUAUGUAAAUGGAAUGGAAUGGUGAUUAUGAAGGAUUCAGUGAAAGUUGGAAAGACUUUCAUGAAAUGAUGAAGAGUGAAGUGAGUAUAACUAGAACUAUUUUCACAUUGAUUACAAUUAUGUAAAAACAAAAUAAGAAUUUUGAAAGACUUCAGAAUAUUGAUAGAUGCAGUGACCAAUUGUAAUUUAAGAAGACUGAUAAUGAAGCAUGCUUCCUGCCCCUCAUCAGAGAGGUGAUGGGUUACAGGUAAAAGAUGAGAUAUAUACUUUCAGACACAACUGAAAGGUUGAUUGUUUUACUUAAAUAUAUUUAUCUAUUUGGGGAGUAUAUGGAAUGGUUAGUGGGUAAUGAUAGAAAUGUUUAUUUUAUUUUUUUAAAUAUAAAUUUAUUUUAGUUUUCAAUAUUUACUUCCACAAGA
Molecule: non-coding RNA, 1686 nt
Organism: Phascolarctos cinereus (koala)
Lineage: Eukaryota; Metazoa; Chordata; Mammalia; Diprotodontia; Phascolarctidae
Source: RefSeq, a predicted model, not a curated record